Molecule: ribosomal RNA, 494 nt
Filed under: uncultured bacterium
Lineage: Bacteria
Description: partial 16S ribosomal RNA
Rfam family: Bacterial small subunit ribosomal RNA
Source: RNAcentral
GACGAACGCUGGCGGCGCGCUUAACACAUGCAAGUCGAACGGAAAGGCCUGCUUUCCCUUGUGGAUUGCGGGUACUCGAGUGGCGAACGGGUGAGUAACACGUGAGUGAUCUGCCCCCAACUUGGGUAUAAGCCUGGGAAACUGGGUCUAAUUCCCGAUAGGACUGCAGGGUGGUGCCUGUGGUUGAAAACGAUUUUCUAGUGGUUGGGGAUGAGCUCGCGGCCUAUCAGCUUGUUGGUGGGGUAAUGGCCUACCAAGGCGGCGACGGGUAGCCGGCCUGAGAGGGUGGACGGCCACAUUGGGACUGAGAUACGGCCCAGACUCCUACGGGAGGCAGCAGUGGGGAAUAUUGCACAAUGGGCGGAAGCCUGAUGCAGCGACGCCGCGUGGGGGAUGACGGCCUUCGGGUUGUAAACUCCUUUCGACCGCGAGGAAGCCACCUGGUUGGAAGGGUGGUGACGGUAGUGGUAGAAGAAGCACCGGCUAACUACGUG